AUACGAAGGGGGCUAGCGUUGUUCGGAAUUACUGGGCGUAAAGCGCACGUAGGCGGCAUUCCAAGUUGGAGGUGAAAUCCCCGGGCUUAACCUGGGAACUGCCUCCAAAACUGGAAAGCUCGAGUCCGAGAGAGGUGAGUGGAAUUUCCAGUGUAGAGGUGAAAUUCGUAGAUAUUGGAAAGAACACCAGUGGCGAAGGCGGCUCACUGGCUCGGUACUGACGCUGAGGAGCGACAGCGUGGGGAGC
This 247-nucleotide ribosomal RNA is filed under the name uncultured bacterium. RNAcentral's name for it is "partial 16S ribosomal RNA". It matches the Rfam family "Bacterial small subunit ribosomal RNA", at positions 523 to 769 of the family's 1533-position model. The record is from RNAcentral.